This 578-nucleotide small RNA is filed under the name Pongo abelii (Sumatran orangutan). RNAcentral's name for it is "retained intron". Lineage: Eukaryota; Metazoa; Chordata; Mammalia; Primates; Hominidae. The record is from RNAcentral.
UUUCUGAAAUUGACUGCCACCACCAUAAAAUUCAUUAUUUCUUUCUUUUCAUUUUAGAACUGCUGGUGAGGACACUGGAGUAAUAUACCCGUCUGUAGAAGACUCUCAAGAAGUGUGUACCACCUCUUUUUCCACCUCCCCGCCAUCCCAGCUGAUGGUUCCUGGGAAGGAAGGUGGGGUACCCCUUGCUCCCAACCAGCCUGUCCAUGGUACCCAGGCUGACCAGGAGAGACUGGCAACCUGCACCCCUUCUGACGGAACCCACUGUGCUGCCACACCCUCCAGUAGUGAGGAUACUGAAACCGUAUCAAACAGCAGCGAAGGACGGGCCUCCCCUCACGAUGUGUUGGAGACCAUCUUUGUCCGAAAAGUGGGGGCUUUUGUCAACAAACCCAUUAACCAGGUGACCCUGACGAGUUUGGAUAUACCCUUUGCCAUGUUUGCUCCCAAGAAUUUGGAGCUGGAGGAUACCGAUCCAAUGGUGAAUCCUCCAGAUUCCCCAGAGACUGAAUCUCCUCUCCAGGGCAGCCUGCACUCAGAUGGCUCCAGCGGGGGCAGCAGUGGCAAUACCCAUGAUG